GCCAACUUGCUGUGGUGGUUCCUAUUCCCUCUUCGCCACUAGUGUGUCUUUAUGUAUUUGCAUCAUUGUCCUGAAUUCGUUUAAAAUUAUAGCCUCAGGUAUACAAGUAUUACUAAAUCGUGACCUUGAAAUAUGGAAUGAGACCUAUACUAUUGUUUUCUUCGCUGACAAUUUGACAAGUUGUCUCUUUAUUUUGGUUUGUGUCUUGAUCAUUGUAAAAUCCUGGAGGGGAUGUCAAUUCAUGUUAAAGGGAACGAUAUCUCUAUUUUCAAUAUUGACGUUAUGUCGCAU
Macrosteles quadrilineatus (aster leafhopper) is the source of this 291-nucleotide long non-coding RNA. RefSeq lists it as uncharacterized. The transcript has 4 exons. NCBI's taxonomy places the organism in Eukaryota, Metazoa, Arthropoda, Insecta, Hemiptera, Cicadellidae. The record is from RefSeq and is a predicted model, not a curated record.